This 400-nucleotide long non-coding RNA is filed under the name Marmota monax (woodchuck). The record is from RNAcentral. Lineage: Eukaryota; Metazoa; Chordata; Mammalia; Rodentia; Sciuridae.
GGGACGGGUGCAGGGGGCUUCUGUCGCGGGUUGGGCGAGCUUGGCUGGCUCUCAUUCGGAGGCAGCGGAGACCUAUCUCAGCAUUGCUUCGGGCCUGAUUAAGGGGAACCACUGGAACGGGUCUGGCUUGUCCAGAAAAGGGGGCGUCUGGCAUCUGCUGAGCUUGAAGUACCGGAUUAGAGGAGGCGGCAGGAAUCUUCAGCAGGAUCGGAGCACUUUGGACGGUGCACCUGGGGAAGCUCAGGGAUCAGACCGGGCAGGAGGCAGCCGGGAUCUGGCCGAGCUUGCGGGCCUGGUUUCGGGAGGAGAAUCUUCAGGGACUGUGCUUGCACCGGGGACACCACGGGGGCCGGAGCACUAUCACGGUCUGGGGCGGGGGGGGACCUACACCUUCGCAGAC